Trichonephila inaurata madagascariensis is the source of this 85-nucleotide non-coding RNA. Lineage: Eukaryota; Metazoa; Arthropoda; Arachnida; Araneae; Nephilidae. The record is from the annotation of a GenBank genome assembly.
AACGAGGUGGCCGAGUGGUUAAGGCGAUGGAAUUUUCUAAUCCUUUUGGGUCUGCCCCCGUGGGUUCGAAUCCCAUCCUUUGUCG